UCGAGCGGACAGAUGGGAGCUUGCUCCCUGAUGUUAGCGGCGGACGGGUGAGUAACACGUGGGUAACCUGCCUGUAAGACUGGGAUAACUCCGGGAAACCGGGGCUAAUACCGGAUGCUUGUUUGAACCGCAUGGUUCAAACAUAAAAGGUGGCUUCGGCUACCACUUACAGAUGGACCCGCGGCGCAUUAGCUAGUUGGUGAGGUAAUGGCUCACCAAGGCGACGAUGCGUAGCCGACCUGAGAGGGUGAUCGGCCACACUGGGACUGAGACACGGCCCAGACUCCUACGGGAGGCAGCAGUAGGGAAUCUUCCGCAAUGGACGAAAGUCUGACGGAGCAACGCCGCGUGAGUGAUGAAGGUUUUCGGAUCGUAAAGCUCUGUUGUUAGGGAAGAACAAGUACCGUUCGAAUAGGGCGGUACCUUGACGGUACCUAACCAGAAAGCCACGGCUAACUACGUGCCAGCAGCCGCGGUAAUACGUAGGUGGCAAGCGUUGUCCGGAAUUAUUGGGCGUAAAGGGCUCGCAGGCGGUUUCUUAAGUCUGAUGUGAAAGCCCCCGGCUCAACCGGGGAGGGUCAUUGGAAACUGGGGAACUUGAGUGCAGAAGAGGAGAGUGGAAUUCCACGUGUAGCGGUGAAAUGCGUAGAGAUGUGGAGGAACACCAGUGGCGAAGGCGACUCUCUGGUCUGUAACUGACGCUGAGGAGCGAAAGCGUGGGGAGCGAACAGGAUUAGAUACCCUGGUAGUCCACGCCGUAAACGAUGAGUGCUAAGUGUU
RNAcentral lists this ribosomal RNA (780 nucleotides) under Bacillus cereus. RNAcentral describes it as "bacterial SSU rRNA". It matches the Rfam family "Bacterial small subunit ribosomal RNA", at positions 62 to 824 of the family's 1533-position model. The record is from RNAcentral. Lineage: Bacteria; Bacillati; Bacillota; Bacilli; Caryophanales; Bacillaceae.